AUAAUACAGCGCGGACAACAGUC
Molecule: non-coding RNA, 23 nt
Filed under: Arabidopsis thaliana (thale cress)
Lineage: Eukaryota; Viridiplantae; Streptophyta; Magnoliopsida; Brassicales; Brassicaceae
Source: RNAcentral